This 127-nucleotide small RNA is filed under the name Marmota monax (woodchuck). Lineage: Eukaryota; Metazoa; Chordata; Mammalia; Rodentia; Sciuridae. The record is from RNAcentral.
GCCGGGCGUGGUGGCGCAUGCCUGUAAUCCCAGUGGCUGGGGUGGCUGAGGCAGGAGGAUCAUGAGUUCAAAGCCAGCCUCAGCAACUUAGAGAGGCCCUAAGCAACUCAGUGAGACCCUGUCUCUA